This is an RNA transcript of Bombus huntii, 1759 nucleotides long. It is a transcript of the gene named tropomyosin-1, with no coding region annotated. Lineage: Eukaryota; Metazoa; Arthropoda; Insecta; Hymenoptera; Apidae. The transcript is spliced from 8 exons. The record is from RefSeq and is a predicted model, not a curated record.
AGGACCCCACCCCCGUAGAAUUUUCUGUGGCGGUCCAUUUUUGGGCUCCCCACCUUCGGCUUCGCCUCGAUUACAAGCGUCCUCGUCGAGCAAGAAGCUUUACGAAGCACCCUCGGAACACUCGACUCGCGCCACUCUACUCGCUCGGGUUAGUGAACUCGAUAGUUUCUUGAAGGAAGCCGGCAAAAGAAAAAGGCCGCCACCAUGGACGCGAUCAAGAAGAAGAUGCAAGCGAUGAAGCUUGAAAAGGAUAAUGCGAUGGAUAAAGCCGAUGCCUGCGAAGGACAGGCGAAGGAGGCGAAUAUGCGCGCGGAUAAGGUCAACGAGGAAGUCGGUGAAUUACAAAAGAAGCUUACCCAGGUUGAAGCCGAUCUUCAAGCCAACAAACAAGCCCUGGAUCAGGCCAACAAGGAUCUCGAAGAAAAAGAGAAAGCUCUGACUAACGCCGAAUCCGAGGUCGCCGCUCUGAACCGAAAAGUACAAUUGAUUGAGGAGGACUUGGAGAGAUCCGAGGAACGAUUGAACACUGCCACUGCCAAGUUGGCCGAAGCUUCUCAGGCUGCCGACGAAUCUAGCCGUAUGUGCAAAGUAUUGGAAAACCGCGCGCAACAGGAUGAAGAGAGGAUGGAUCAGCUGACGAAUCAACUGAAAGAGGCUCGUCUGCUUGCCGAAGACGCUGAUGGGAAAUCGGACGAAGUAUCGCGAAAGCUGGCCUUUGUUGAAGACGAGUUGGAAGUCGCUGAGGAUCGAGUCAAGUCUGGUGAAGCCAAGAUCAUGGAACUUGAAGAGGAACUUAAAGUGGUCGGUAACAGCUUGAAAUCUUUGGAAGUAUCCGAAGAGAAGGCUAAUCAAAGAGUCGAGGAGUUCAAGCGCCAGCUCAAGACCCUAACAGUGAAACUAAAGGAAGCUGAAGCCCGUGCCGAAUUUGCUGAGAAAACUGUUAAGAAACUGCAGAAGGAGGUCGACAGGCUCGAAGACAUAUUGCACCAGCAGAAGGAGAAACGCAAAACGAUUUGCGAAGAAUUGGACAAGACAUUCUCUGAGCUUUCUGGCUACUAAAAAAAAAAAAAAAAAAUAUCAUCCAUAGUCGUUUCAAAUUUUCUCGUUUAUUCCUGUACACGAAACAUAUUUAGCUAUUUCUGUAUCGUUGUCUUCUCUCUUUCAAAGAUACUUUUCCGCUUUAGCUGAUUUUUUCUUCUUUUCCGCUGCAAUAGCUUCCAAAUUUGGGCGUAAUUUUUACUUUUUUACGACCGAAAAACCAACAAAGGAGAUGUUAAAAGUGCAUUCUCCGUCUUUUUUUUUUUGCCUUUUUUCUUGCGUUCUCACGGUCAUGUAAAACCGACAGUAUCAUUCUUUUUUAUCGAUCAUCGUUCAUGUUUAAAGUUCCGUUGGUUCCAUUUUAUUCUCUUGUGAUUUCCCUUCUUUUUUCUUUCUUUGUUUACUGCCCGAUCACUGUUUCAAUCGUCCGAUUUGGGAGCGCUUUGCUUAGUUUUUUUUUUUUAUAAAAACAGAUUAAUUAGUACUUGUCGUUUACGUUAAGCAUUGUCUAUUAAUAUACGCGUACAAGAACACAUGAACAUACACACACAAGGCACUUAACAGAAUAAAAUAAAACAAAAAGCUUCGCACGUUUAUGUGGGCCGUCGUACGUCAGACGAAUUGGGCAUCAACAAGGAUAGAUACAAGUCACUCGCCGACGAGAUGGACUCCACGUUCGCCGAAUUGGCAGGAUACUAAGUUAUUUCGAUCUUUUGUGCUU